GGUCCCGUAGUCCAACGGAUAGGACGAUGGCCUCCGAAGCCGUAGGUCCAGGUUCGAUUCCUGGCGGGACUACCA
Molecule: transfer RNA, 75 nt
Filed under: Verrucomicrobiales bacterium
Lineage: Bacteria; Pseudomonadati; Verrucomicrobiota; Verrucomicrobiia; Verrucomicrobiales
Also listed under: 2 other names
Description: tRNA-Arg
Rfam family: tRNA
About the family: Transfer RNA (tRNA) molecules are approximately 80 nucleotides in length. Their secondary structure includes four short double-helical elements and three loops (D, anti-codon, and T loops). Further hydrogen bonds mediate the characteristic L-shaped molecular structure. tRNAs have two regions of fundamental functional importance: the anti-codon, which is responsible for specific mRNA codon recognition, and the 3' end, to which the tRNAs corresponding amino acid is attached (by aminoacyl-tRNA synthetases). tRNAs cope with the degeneracy of the genetic code in two manners: having more than one tRNA (with a specific anti-codon) for a particular amino acid; and 'wobble' base-pairing, i.e. permitting non-standard base-pairing at the 3rd anti-codon position.
Source: RNAcentral